RNAcentral lists this long non-coding RNA (3144 nucleotides) under Heterocephalus glaber (naked mole-rat). RNAcentral describes it as "lncRNA (ENSHGLG00100041219.1)". Lineage: Eukaryota; Metazoa; Chordata; Mammalia; Rodentia; Bathyergidae. The record is from RNAcentral.
GGAAGCGAGGCCCUGGGAACCACUGUCCGGCCAGGCUCCCUGAGCCUCUGGCUCCUGUAAGCCAGAUCUCCAGGCCCAGGCAGGGUCUGAGGGCUGUGGGGUGCAGGACCAGCCCUCCCCUCAGGCUUGUUUCUGAGCUGCCCCACAGUGUGGUGUCGGUCACAGUACCUGACACACCAGCCCCUGGAAAACAGCAGGCGGUGGAACCACUGAGCUACAUUCCCAGCUCAGGAAUUUGUCUUCCUUUCUGAGGCGUCUCCACACUGAUCUCUGCAGUGUUGUACCGCGUACUCCCCCACCCGUGGGGAAGGCCCCUCGCCAGCGCUUGUUACUGCUGGGUUUCUUGAAGAUGGCCCUGCCCUCUGGGGAUGGUGGGACUCGGUGCUGCUUUAAUUUAAUCCCUUAUUCUCAGCGUUGCUGUUUACUCCUUCAAGUCCUGAACUCACACAGGUAGUUUCAAAGUUGCCAACCUUUGUGCCAUGAAAAGAAAACCUACUGGAGUUGAAGCUCAGCACUUUUCCUUUUGGGGAGAGGUGGGCAGGCAGGGAGAGGCGGGGCUGAGUGAGUCUGUGGCACAGAUGCCCACACCGCCCACCGGGCCUCCGCUCUUCGGCCCUGCCACGAAGCCCUGCGUCUGCGUUUCCAGCCCUCCCUGCUGUCGGGCUCAGCCAGGGAGCUGUUGGCAGCCCCUUUAUCAGGAGGUGGGAAUGCCUGGGGCCCAGGCAAUGGGACAUCAAAUGUCCUUGACGGAGAAAGGGUAAUUUCAUCCAGGUUCCUCAAACACUCGGAAUGGAGCCAGCGUGUGACGCUGCAGUUGGCUUCUGGGUGCUCACAUCCAAGGCUGCGGAGCUGGUGUGGCAAGGAGACACCUACACGCCACGUUCACCACAGCUGAGAAAAACAGUGCACCCAGGCAUGCCCCACCAAUGAGCGUGUGAAGGGACAGUGGACGCGCAUGGCAGCAUGCCGUGAGCCUCACAGAAGAGGGAAACAUGUCCUUUCUGACACACAGGGUCUCGCUAACUUGCUCAGUUGCCCAAGCUGGGCUCAAACUUGCCAUCCUCCUGCCUCUGCCUCCCAGUGCUGGGAUGACAGGCGUGCACCACCACACUUAGUUCCUGCUCUAACUUUUCAACAAAAUCCAUUACACUGUGUAGGAAAAGGUAAAAGAAAACUACGCGAUGGCUUUCUGGAUCUUUGUGUUCUAAACGCUGCCCUAACUUCUUGGAGAAGGCUUGUCGGUCAGUCGGGACUCAAGAAAGCCCUGGGCCUCCCAGGAGGCGCCGCCCCUCCUCGGCCCCAUGCACUGGCCUUGGGAACCCUUCGGGUUGCCCAGACGCGAGGAUGGGGCUCCUCCUCCUCCACAGGCCCAGCACUGCCUCUGCUGAGGGUAGAUUUGUUGGAUUCAUAUGCUUGUAGAAAGCAUAGAGAUACAAGUUUAGAAGGAGAAGCAGUCACAGUGGGAACAAGGAGAGAAGCGAGGAGAGAGGCCGCUUCCUUGCUGGAGCCGGAGCUCGAGGGCCUUGGUUCCCAGCGCCUCUCCCCGAGAGUUACACCUGCAUCAGCUGCUCUAGGCUCAGACCCUGCCUUGGCCGUGGACCCUCCCUGCCCUUGCACUCUCCCUCUCUCCGUGAGAUUUGUGACGGGGCCUCAGGCUGACGGCCAAGUUAGCAAGUAUUAAGAGGUGCCUGAGCAACCAGGCACAAAUGUACAGCUGCCCCCGAAGUGUGUUUCUGCAAUUCAGCCUGUCCACUGCGGCCCCUCUGCACCUGGCUGGAGCCCAGAGGAGGACCUGGGCCUGCCGACACCCUGCUCAUGCUCCGCCUGUCCUGCUCCCUCCAGGCCAGGCCGAUUGGGACCGCAGGGCAGGAGCCCGGGCACCGCUUACCGGAGGACAACGUUGCAUGCCUGGCGGUGGCCGCUGACCAAGGCCUGCUGGCCCCGCUCCCCAACAUCGUUCCCGCUCACGUCCAGGUGCCUCAGCUCCAGGUUGGUGCCCGGCACAGCCGCCAGGGCAAGGCAGCCAGCAGAGGACAUGCAGGUGGCAGCUGGGGCACGCCAGGGCCUCGCACAGAGUGGCGGCGCCGUCAUCCCCGAGGUCAUUGAGGCUGAGGUCCAGGCUUUGGAGGGCGCUGCUGCUCUCGAGAGCUGAGGCCACGUCCUGACAGCAAGCCGAGCAGUGAGACCGAGGACUCAUGUGCUGACUCUGUCUUCCACCACUUGAGGAACAGCCAAGAACGUCUUCUGAAGUGCCAGCACCUUCUCCUGCUUCUCCGGGGAAAGCUCAAAGUGUCAGUGCUUCCUCAGCAGGCAUGGGCGCGUGACCCAGAGGCCCACACCUGCAGACUCCGGCGACUUUUCCUCUCGGAGACACAUCGUCAUCGGCCUCACACUUGCCAUCCUCCUGCCUCAGCCUCCCAGAGUGCUGGGGUCACAGGCGUGCACCACCAUGCCUGGCUCCGUAUUUAAUUCUGUGCUGAACUUCCUCCCGUGACAGCCAAGUGAGACCUCCCCAGGAGGAAGGCAGCGUGACCUGGACACUGACCCUGAGCCCCCGCCCGGCUCUUGUGAUGAGCAGAUGUCGCCGUCCUGCGCAUCUGCAGGGCCCUGGGUGCCUGGGCCCCGCUAACCUGCCUCUUCAGUGGAAAUAACACCCUUUUCCUGACUGCUGUCCCCUGGCACAAGCAUGGCUCCAAUAGGCCUCUGUGGGUCACACGUGUGCCACAGACUAGAACACGAAGCAGGUGUGCUCGGCACUGCUCCCCGCACGCCGAGCCUCAAGGGGAGGCACCUGGGGACUCACACCAGCCUCUGGAGGGGCAGCGCCGCGCUUGCCAGGCUCUCCCAGAUGUGCCUCGCCCCUUCAUCCUUCAGGGCAUUGCCCGCCAGGCUCAGGUGCGUCAGCGUCCGGCUGCUCCCCAGGGAGACGGCCACGCCCGGGCAGGCCAGCUUCAUGAGCCCGCAGCUCUCCAGCCUGGGGACAGAGACUCGAGGUGAGCUGCGGACAGGUGGCCGGGUGUGGGGAUGCACGCCUGUGACCCCAGCCCUCUGGGAGGCUGAGGCAGGGGGGAUUGUAAGUUCAAGCCCAGCCUGGGCAAUUUAGCGUCUGGGGGAGAACCUGUCUCAAAAUAAACAAAAAAGGGC